UUGCAUGGAAUUCCUUAUGGUUACCGUUUGCGGUUAUAAUUUUAACGUUUAGGGGGUGGUUAAAAAUUGACUUUUUAUGAGUUAAAAAUUUGAGAAAAUUUCCUUCAUGAAAGUUGUAGAGGACGUUAAACCGAGUGCGUGCAUAUGUGGUACGUAAAAAUCGGAGCUCGUAUGCAAAAGUUAUGAGUGAAAUUCAAAAAUUACUGUUCAUGGUAAUUUUGGAUAAAAAUAGAAACUUACCAGGGUAGGUUUCCAAAACCGGAAACCCACCCCCCCCCCCUUUUUCUCUCUCUCUCCCCGACUCUUCCUCCCCUCUCGGCCGAUUUCUUUCCCCUUCGAUUUCUUCCUCUUCCGGCCGACUCCGGACGUAAUCCGGCCACCCCCAAGCUCGGUUUCUUCCCCCGGUCACGUCCCUGGAGGUAUCUUUGGACGAUUUGGCCGGAAAAGCUCGGAUCGAAGGAAAUUCCUCCCCGGUUGCAGUUUUGGGAUUUUGCCGAUUUCCGGCCAUUCCGGCCACCUCCGGCCGCCAUAUUCCCAUCGAAGGGUUCUUGGAGCUUCGGGGCUUUCCUUCACCGGCUCGAUUCGGCCACUUAGAGGACGAGAGGAGUCUCCAUACGAGGAGAACCACGAGCGAC
Long non-coding RNA from Rosa rugosa (rugosa rose), 635 nucleotides. RefSeq lists it as uncharacterized. The transcript has 3 exons. NCBI's taxonomy places the organism in Eukaryota, Viridiplantae, Streptophyta, Magnoliopsida, Rosales, Rosaceae. The record is from RefSeq and is a predicted model, not a curated record.